GUGUUGUCUUUGGUUAUCUAGCUGUAUGAGAGUCUUUUGUCACCAUAAAGCUAGGUAACCAAAACAACAACCAUUCCCCCUA
Molecule: microRNA precursor, 82 nt
Filed under: Branchiostoma floridae (Florida lancelet)
Lineage: Eukaryota; Metazoa; Chordata; Leptocardii; Amphioxiformes; Branchiostomatidae
Description: microRNA bfl-mir-9 precursor (bfl-mir-9-1)
Gene: bfl-mir-9-1
Rfam family: mir-9/mir-79 microRNA precursor family (bases 3-71)
About the family: The mature ~21nt miRNAs are processed from hairpin precursor sequences represented here. miR-9 is processed from the 5' arm of its precursor, and miR-79 from the 3' arm. The bounds of the precursors are predicted based on conservation and base pairing and are not generally known.
Source: miRBase by way of RNAcentral